RNAcentral lists this ribosomal RNA (253 nucleotides) under uncultured bacterium. Its description in RNAcentral is "partial 16S ribosomal RNA". It matches the Rfam family "Bacterial small subunit ribosomal RNA", at positions 524 to 776 of the family's 1533-position model. The record is from RNAcentral.
UACGGAGGGUGCGAGCGUUGUCCGGAAUCACUGGGCGUAAAGGGCGCGUAGGCGGCUUGGGAAGUCCGUGGUGAAAGCCCGAGGCUCAACUUCGGGUCGGCCAUGGACACUCCUAAGCUCGAGUCGACUAGAGGCUAAUGGAAUUCCGGGUGUAGCGGUGGAAUGCGUAGAGAUCCGGAAGAACACCGGUGGCGAAGGCGGUUAGCUGGGGUCGGACUGACGCUGAGGCGCGACAGCGUGGGGAGCAAACAGG